RNAcentral lists this ribosomal RNA (387 nucleotides) under uncultured bacterium. RNAcentral's name for it is "bacterial SSU rRNA". It matches the Rfam family "Bacterial small subunit ribosomal RNA", at positions 28 to 416 of the family's 1533-position model. The record is from RNAcentral.
GACGAACGCUGGCGGCGUGCUUAACACAUGCAAGUCGAGCGGUAAGGCCCUUUCGGGGUACGACGAGCGGCGAACGGGUGAGUAACACGUGGGUGACCUGCCCUCAGCUCUGGGAUAAGCCUGGGAAACCGGGUCUAAUACUGGAUAUGACUCCAUGACGCAUGUUGUGGGGUGGAAAGCCUUGUGCGGCUGAGGAUGGGCCCGCGGCCUAUCAGCUUGUUGGUGGGGUGANGGCCUACCAAGGCGACGACGGGUAGCCGGCCUGAGAGGGCGACCGGCCACACUGGGACUGAGACACGGCCCAGACUCCUACGGGAGGCAGCAGUGGGGAAUCUUGCGCAAUGGGCGAAAGCCUGACGCAGCGACGCCGCGUGAGGGAUGACGGCC